CCCUUAGAUGUUCUGGGCCGCACGCGUGCUACAAUGGCAAAAUCAACGAGUAUACCUUUGUCGACAGACAUGGGAAAUCUUUUCAGUUCUUGCCGUGAUGGGGCUAGACCCUUGUAAUUGUUGGUCUCCAACGAGGAAUUCCUAGUAAACGCAAGUCAUUAUCUUGCAUUGAUUACGUCCCUGCCCUUUGUACACACCGCCCGUCGCACCUACCGAUUGAACGGUCCGGUGAAAUCUUGGGAUUUGCUUUGCUUUCGUUUGUUCGAUGCUCGGCGAAGAACUUGAGUAAACCUUACCGUUUAGAGGAAGGUGAAGUCGUAACA
Molecule: ribosomal RNA, 323 nt
Filed under: uncultured eukaryote
Lineage: Eukaryota
Description: partial 18S ribosomal RNA
Rfam family: Eukaryotic small subunit ribosomal RNA
Source: RNAcentral